ACAAGCGGUGGAUCAUGUUGUUUAAUUCGAUGAUACGCGAAGAACCUUACCAGGCUUGACAUCCCCCGCGAUGCUUUAGAGAUAAAGCGGAGGUAUUCGGGAGACAGGUGGUGCAUGGUUGUCGUCAGCUCGUGUCGUGAGAUGUCGGGUUAAGUCCCGCAACGAGCGCAACCCCUAUUGCUAGUUACCAUCAUUAAGUUGGGGACUCUAGCGAGACUGCCAGUGAUAAGGCGGAGGAAGGUGGGGAUGACGUCAAGUCAUCAUGGCCUUUAUGCCCAGGGCUACACACGUGCUACAAUGGCCGGCACAGACGGCAGCUUAGUGGCGACACUUGGCAAAUCCUCUAAAGCCGGUCCCAGUUCGGAUUGCAGUCUGCAACUCGACUGCAUGAAGCCGGAAUCGCUAGUAAUCGCAGAUCAGCCAAGCUGCGGUGAAUACGUUCCCGGGCCUU
RNAcentral lists this ribosomal RNA (451 nucleotides) under uncultured Synergistaceae bacterium. Its description in RNAcentral is "bacterial SSU rRNA". It matches the Rfam family "Bacterial small subunit ribosomal RNA", at positions 925 to 1382 of the family's 1533-position model. Lineage: Bacteria; Thermotogati; Synergistota; Synergistia; Synergistales; Synergistaceae. The record is from RNAcentral.